Molecule: small RNA, 228 nt
Filed under: Williamsia sp.
Lineage: Bacteria; Bacillati; Actinomycetota; Actinomycetes; Mycobacteriales; Nocardiaceae
Description: c-di-AMP sequence
Rfam family: c-di-AMP riboswitch aptamer (ydaO/yuaA leader) (bases 90-228)
About the family: This family represents a conserved RNA structure found upstream of the ydaO and yuaA genes in Bacillus subtilis and related genes in other bacteria. The ydaO/yuaA element is thought to act as a genetic "off" switch for the ydaO and yuaA genes in its native state.
Source: RNAcentral
CUGUCUGCCGCGCCAAACCUCGUUCCGUGGACAGAGCCUCCAGAGACACACUUCAGGAACGAGGGCGGGGGACCCACCUCCGACAUCGACGGUCACGACCGCCGACAUCGGAAACGGAGCUCGUCAACCACGACGAGUCCCUCGGGGUGAAGCUCCGCACUGCGGAGCCGGGCAACCUCUCAGCCCGAACCCGACAGCUGACUUCGUCGGCGCGUGGAGAGAGGAAAC